Molecule: ribosomal RNA, 253 nt
Filed under: uncultured bacterium
Lineage: Bacteria
Description: partial 16S ribosomal RNA
Rfam family: Bacterial small subunit ribosomal RNA
Source: RNAcentral
UACGUAGGGGGCAAGCGUUAUCCGGAUUUACUGGGUGUAAAGGGAGCGUUGACGGCAAUACAAGUCGGAAGUGAAAUACCCGGGCUCAACCUGGGAACUGCUUUGGAAACUGUAUGGCUGGAGUGCUGGAGAGGUAAGCGGAAUUCCUAGUGUAGCGGUGAAAUGCGUAGAUAUUAGGAGGAACACCAGUGGCGAAGGCGGCUUACUGGACAGUAACUGACGUUGAGGCUCGAAAGCGUGGGGAGCAAACAGG